GGUCAUGUGGCCUAGUGGUCAUGGCAUCUGCCCGGUAAGCGGAAGGUCGUGGGUUCGUUUCCCAUCCCUUGACACU
Molecule: transfer RNA, 76 nt
Filed under: Cordylochernes scorpioides
Lineage: Eukaryota; Metazoa; Arthropoda; Arachnida; Pseudoscorpiones; Chernetidae
Description: tRNA-Thr
Rfam family: tRNA
About the family: Transfer RNA (tRNA) molecules are approximately 80 nucleotides in length. Their secondary structure includes four short double-helical elements and three loops (D, anti-codon, and T loops).
Source: RNAcentral